GGGGAUAUGGCGAAAUGGUAGACGCAGCGGACUCAAAAUCCGUUGGUUCCAAAGGACCGUGAGGGUUCAACUCCCUCUAUCCCCA
Molecule: transfer RNA, 85 nt
Filed under: Histiopteris incisa
Lineage: Eukaryota; Viridiplantae; Streptophyta; Polypodiopsida; Polypodiales; Dennstaedtiaceae
Also listed under: 2 other names
Description: tRNA-Leu
Rfam family: tRNA
About the family: Transfer RNA (tRNA) molecules are approximately 80 nucleotides in length. Their secondary structure includes four short double-helical elements and three loops (D, anti-codon, and T loops). Further hydrogen bonds mediate the characteristic L-shaped molecular structure. tRNAs have two regions of fundamental functional importance: the anti-codon, which is responsible for specific mRNA codon recognition, and the 3' end, to which the tRNAs corresponding amino acid is attached (by aminoacyl-tRNA synthetases). tRNAs cope with the degeneracy of the genetic code in two manners: having more than one tRNA (with a specific anti-codon) for a particular amino acid; and 'wobble' base-pairing, i.e. permitting non-standard base-pairing at the 3rd anti-codon position.
Source: RNAcentral